UACGUAGGGCGCAAGCGUUAUCCGGAAUUAUUGGGCGUAAAGAGCUCGUAGGCGGUUUGUCGCGUCUGCCGUGAAAGUCCGGGGCUCAACUCCGGAUCUGCGGUGGGUACGGGCAGACUAGAGUGAUGUAGGGGAGACUGGAAUUCCUGGUGUAGCGGUGAAAUGCGCAGAUAUCGAGAGGAACACCAGUGGCGAAGGCGAGUCUCUGGACGACUCCUGACACUGAGGCACGAAAGCUAGGGGAGCAAACAGG
Molecule: ribosomal RNA, 253 nt
Filed under: uncultured bacterium
Lineage: Bacteria
Description: partial 16S ribosomal RNA
Rfam family: Bacterial small subunit ribosomal RNA
Source: RNAcentral